This is a long non-coding RNA of Macadamia integrifolia, 996 nucleotides long. RefSeq lists it as uncharacterized. The record is from RefSeq and is a predicted model, not a curated record. Lineage: Eukaryota; Viridiplantae; Streptophyta; Magnoliopsida; Proteales; Proteaceae. The transcript is spliced from 2 exons.
AAUUAAGCUCCGUUCCGUUGAAGCUCUCUGUUGCGCUGAACCUUUCCGUUGGUUGAAUUCGACCCUCAACAGAGGCUUGAAGAUUGAUCUCCGCACCGUCUUGAAUCUGCGAAGUGACACACCAAGCGAAACUGAGAUGAAUUAAGAUGCAGAGAACACUUACUCUUUGGUGGAAGCAUAAACAGAGACAAGUGGAUACGAAGGUGUGGCAGUGAUAGAACCCGACACUAUAUUCACGAUGGCACCUCUCUUCCUUUAAAUCAUCCCAAGAAGAACAGCCUUGAUCACCCUAUUAAUGGCUUCCGCAUUUACCUGAAUCAUAUCGUUAAGCAUUCUUCAUCCACUUCAUAGAAAAAUCUCGCGUAAGGGUAAGCAACCCUUGCGCAGUUCACCAGAACCCCAACAUCCAACCCUUCGAUGGCUCUCCCGAUCCGUUCAAUACCCUCCGACAGGUCACUGGCCAAGUCAAAGACAACAUUCCUGAUUUGGGUUCCUCCGUAUCAAGCCUUAAUGGCACCCGAAACCUAUUUAAGCUUCCCGGAGAAGUCGAUUAUCCCUCGCCGCUGCCUCACCCGCCAAAGCACAAAUUUGCUGCUAAAUUGUAAGUCUCGGAAGAGAUGUCGACUGCAGAGGACAGGUUUUGCACUUCCAUAAGGUGUUAGAGAUGAGGGUAAAUUUGUCUUUUUCAUUGUAUAUUUAACACCGAUAUUGAUUAAUGGGACGACAGUUAGAAUCUUGAAAAUUCAGGGGAGGGUGCUGUUAUACCGUUGUGUUUCAAACCAUAGGAAGGGAAGUGCUUAGGUAAAGUACGGGGGAGGGCAGGGAAGGGUAAUUUCCUCUUUAAUUUUUGGUUCCAGCUCAAGGGUUGGGAUGUAAACGGAUCGGAUAUAGAUCGAAUGUGUUCGGAUCUGAAUAUUUGUUGAACGGAUUCGAAGACCCCUAAACGAAUAUGGAUGCGGAUUAAAUUCGGAUAUUCAACUAUUCAUUUACUCUCGA